CCUACGGGUGGCAGCAGUGGGGAAUAUUGCACAAUGGGGGAAACCCUGAUGCAGCAACGCCGCGUGAGUGAAGAAGUAUUUCGGUAUGUAAAGCUCUAUCAGCAGGGAAGAAGAUGACGGUACCUGAGUAAGAAGCCCCGGCUAACUACGUGCCAGCAGCCGCGGUAAUACGUAGGGGGCAAGCGUUAUCCGGAUUUACUGGGUGUAAAGGGAGCGUAGACGGUGAGACAAGUCUGAAGUGAAAGCCUGGGGCUCAACCCCGGGACUGCUUUGGAAACUGCCUGACUGGAGUGCUGGAGAGGCAAGCGGAAUUCCUGGUGUAGCGGUGAAAUGCGUAGAUAUCAGGAGGAACAUCGGUGGCGAAAGCGCUUUACUGGACCAUUAUUGACGCUGAGGAACGAAAGCCAGGGGAGCAAAUGGGAUUAGAUACCCGGGUAGUC
This 440-nucleotide ribosomal RNA is filed under the name uncultured bacterium. Its description in RNAcentral is "partial 16S ribosomal RNA". It matches the Rfam family "Bacterial small subunit ribosomal RNA", at positions 338 to 795 of the family's 1533-position model. The record is from RNAcentral.